ACGAGUCGACUGAAGAUUGCAUGGUCGGUGACUAUCAUGUCCCGGCAGGCACGCGCCUCCUUGUUAACCUUUCAAAGCUUCAUCGAGACCCAAGGGUUUGGUCCGAUCCGAAUGAGUUUCGACCAGAGCGAUUUCUCACAACCCACAAGAGCUUUGACGUUAAGGGUCAUGAUUUCGAGUUAAUUCCAUUUGGAAGUGGUAGAAGAAUGUGUCCUGGAAUGUCACUUGCCCUUAAGGUUAUAGCAUUAACACUUGCUUCUUUGCUUCACGGUUUUGAAAUUGGAACUCCAACGGAUGAAACGGUCGACAUGGGUGAGACGGUGGGAGUGACCAACAAUAAAGCUACCCCACUUGAAGUCCUUUUCACUCCACGCCUUCCUGCUCAACUAUACGAGUAAUAAACUCUAUAAGGCAAAUUGACAUGUUUCUUGAUAAUUUGGUUAUUGUUGUCUUUGAAUUUUAAAUAAAUGCCUUCUACUUUGUCAGAAUUCCUCAAGGCUUACGCCUCGCGUAGCACUACUAAAAAUGCCUCGCUUAUACGCCUUGUCUUUGAAAACAUUGAUAUUAUGUGCUUAGCAAUUGGUCGAGUAAUCGUGACCAACGACCUCAUAUGUAAUACGUUGAAUCACAUUUUAUAUCUGUAAGCUAGAAAACUUACCGUGAAUAUGAAACUAUAGCCUCGCUCAAGCGUUUCUUUGAGAAAGGGAGUUCUCCUUCACAUCAUGUUGAUAAAAUCUUGAGACAUAUACAGUUUCUCAGCCUCAAAAUCGGCAGGAUCAUUUGCUUCGAGCUUGUGGCAGUGAAGGUGGAGAAACUUACAAUGUUCGAAAGAUGUUUGAUCGACGGCCAAAAGAAGAAGUUGAGAAAUCAAGCCUCGUGUGCCUUCUCCAUGCCAGAACCCAUCUAAAAAUAAAUCAAGCAUUGGCUUAUCUCCUUCUACGUACGCUUUAACAAUCACAAUUAUCAGUCUUGUAAGUUCCCAUGGUCAUGAAGCCUUAUAUAAAGCUGAUUCAAGCUCAUCUUCUUUGCUGUUUGUGUUGAUCUAUUAAUUAUUUCAAAAAAAUUAAUUAGAACAAAUUAAAACAGUUUAAUAAAAUCGGAAACAAAAGAGAACUGAAACCAAAGAGAACUUGGGAUUGGUCGGCUAGUAGACAGCUCCUCCUCCUAACCAAAGGGAACUGAAACCAAAACUUUCUUAUUAAAAUCGGAAACAAAAACUUUCUUAUUAAAAUCUAAACUAAAUUGCACUUCCUUUUUAUUUAUUGUAUAUUUUAUUAUUUAUCUUCCUAACUAAAUUAGGGUUUUGAGAUUAUGCAAACAUAUCGCAAAUUUGCAAUUGCCUUUGGUCGCGCCUUAUUGUGAGUUUAUACACUCUGUUUAUACCGGAGACAAAGGCCUAUGACCACCGAACACGUGGACAGGAUCGAUAUUGAUCGCAGAAACCCUUCGGCAUGCUGCCUACCGAAGCCGUCCAUUUUGACCCUUUUACUACCGGACAUGUGUCAUGCUCACAAUUCGUGUCCACAGUCCCACAUCAGAAAUAUGAGCACAAUGCACACCUCCCAAGGCCUAUAUAAGAAGACCCCUAUCCCCAAAAGGAAUGGAUCAGAACGAACGGUGCGUUACCGAUUGAUCUGUCAGUUUAACAUUACUAAAACCGUACUUACUAAAGCAUCGGAGAGCCUUCGGCCGGUACCACACCGGUACCCCAAGGACUUACCGAACGCGUCCUUUUGCAGGUACUCACCCUUCCGAAGCAAGACGUCUUCCGAAGAUAGCCACCUGCCGAAGGCAUAAUAUCACUAAGUUGGCGAAAUACGUGCCGAGCCACUUUUUCGCAUCAACACGUCUUCCGAAGAUAGCCACCUGCCGAAGGCAUAAUAUCACUAAGUUGGCGAAAUACGUGCCGAGCCACUUUUUUGUAUCAACUGUUUGGCGCCGUCUGUGGGAAUCCAGAAAAAUCAUCAACCCACUAUCUCCAAAACAUAUGGGGACCACCUCAAUACCCACGUUCUUAUCAGAAAAAGGGGUACCAUUCGGAAGGCAAAGCGGAGCUAGCCCAGCGCUACCCCCAUGCACUCCCCUCGGGAACGCCCCAGCAACCCAAACAACUGCCGAAGCCGAGCUGGUAGCCCAAAUCGCGUCCCUACGGAAGGACAUGGCGAGGGUUCAGGAACACAACAACCUUCUUUCGUCCAAAGUGGGCGAAACCCAGCAGCUGCUCCACCAGCAGCACACGCAGAACAUCCAGACAACUCACUCUUCCCAGAGCUUGCAGACCCCCCAUAGGAAGAAGAAACACGAGAAGGUAGCGAGGGCAACGCCCGCACCUUCCAAACAGUUGGUAGUUCAGGCACCCAGGGAUCAGCCGCACGUCCCUAAGAAAGUCUACUCCGAUUGUCGACAUCGGAUUAACGAUCGGGAGGCAGAGAGACGGAGGUCUCCAAUCAGGAUUAUCGCUCGACUAAGGGACUCACGGAUGAAAAUCCUAGGAAGCAAGUCGCCUAUUCGGAAGGUCAGAGGGCUGGACUCUGCAGAGGAGUCGGAAUCCGAAUAUAUCCCUUCCAGGACGCAAGAUUCCACCUACCGUUCGGCAACGCCUACACGGUACUCGGGGGUUAAUUCAUUAAGCCUACAGAGACGAUCAGAAGAUUAUGGUUCCGAGGAAAUCCCUAGCCGAGACCCUGUUGUCCGACUCCUUUUUCAGAAAGUCCAGAAAAUGGAAAACGACAAAGCUCGCUCCCAAGAACCGGAAUGGGGGAAGCUUCGGCCCGGACCAUUCACCAGGCGCAUCCGGGACUCUCGGCAGGACAGGAAAGUGCAGCAACUGCGUAUACCGUUCUAUACGAGAACGGAAGACCCCUUAACACACCUCCACUCAUUUCAGUCCGCCAUUGGGUGCAAGGGCCUGAGCGACGAAGGGCAGUGCCUGCUAUUCUCGUCUUCCCUUACCGAAGCAGCCCUGAACUGGUUCUACCGGUUGGAGCUGAAAACAGUAGAUUCUUUCGACGAGCUGAAGCAGAUUUUACUCAAUCACUUCAUGAUCCAAACGGACCGUCUUUACUCUGCCGAUGAUCAGUACACGAUCCGGCAAAGAGAGGACGAACCUUUGAGAGAAUACGCAGCGCGCUUCAGUCACGAAUAUCAAGAUGUCCGGAAACAGACGAUAGGGCAGCCUACGGCGCCUUCAAGAGUGGCCUUCGGUCCUCGCAUUUCCGAUACCUAGUACACAGCAGCAACUGGCGCACGUACGACGAACUGAUGAAGCAGGCAUCAAUCCACGCCAAGGCCGAAUACUUCAACUCGAAACCCGGGGUUUCGGCAUGGCGAGGGGAUGCCAAACCAAGUGCUUAUCCGGCAAAGGCGCCACCCUACGAGAGAGUCGACCCAUAUUUGGCAGGUCAUAAGAGGAAAUACGACCGUGCCGAUCAAAGAGAACACCCGAAGAAGGGAAAAGGGAGGUAUGGACGCAACGACAACCGGGCGCCCCUACCGAAUCGUGACCACGGCAACGAAGUCUUUACCCUAUUAAACACUACCUACGAGGCCGUCCUGAUGAACGAACAAGAAAUAAUACCGAAGCCGAAUCUACGAAGACCCAAUCGGUAAGACAACCGGGAUACCGGUAAAUUCUGCCGAUACCAUCAGCACAACAGCCAUAAUACGAAAGACUGUAUAAGCCUAAGAAAGAUUGUCGAACGAUUGAUCAGAGAGGGGAAGCUAGAUCAGUAUACCGCCCGGCAGCCACCGGCGCCGGUACCGAACCCAACUCUGCAGAUAAACAUGAUAAGCACUAUAGCGGUGGCCCCACUAUCACGGGAAUGAGCAACCGUUCAAUGAAGCAAUACGUGCGUGCCGCACAAUUUCCUCAGGUAUUCAGCAUAGAGGUGAAUCGGCACCAUGAAAUACCGAAAGUUCACUGGGAACCAAUCACAUUUUGCAAAGAGGAGGAAGAGGGAGUCCUCAAUCCCCACGACGACCCGAUGAUCAUCCGAGCAGAAAUUGCCGACUACGAUGUAGGACGGGUACUGAUCGAUACCAGAAGCUCCGUGAGCGUGAUUUUUGCCGAAGCCUUCCGAGAAAUGGGAAUAAACGACAGCCAGGUCAACCGGCAAUUGACCCCUCUAUUAAGUUUCUCUGGGGAUCUGGUCCAACCAGUCGGUAGUGUAAAACUGCCAAUUACCUUCGACACCGCACCAAGAAAAAUAACGGUAUACGAUCAUUUCCUGAUCGUUGAUUGCCCGACAGCGUACAGCGUUAUAGUUGGACGAACGGCACUCACCAGGGUCAAGGCACAUCUUUCCCCCAACAUGCUAUUGAUGAAGUUCCCGACCCCCAACGGCACAGGGGCUGUCCGGGGAAAUCAGUUAAGCGCGCGGACUUGCUACGCCACGGCCCUCAAGUCAACCUCUUUUAAACUCUCCGACGAGACCAUGUCUGUACAAGGAGUACCGAACGGUACAGGACCAGUUGACGACCCAAGAGAUGAGUCCCCGACUCCUCACACACAACCUGUCGAAGAACUGGAGACGAUAACCUUGAACGAAGAGCAGCCCGAUCGUCGGGUUAGAAUCGGCACCAGACUCACCCCUGCCCUCCGAACGCAGUUCAUAGACUUCUUACGGCACCAUUCGGAAGUGUUCGCGUGGUCCUACGAAGAUAUGCCCGGCAUAGACCCUGAGAUCAUCAGCCAUAAACUCAGCAUUUCCCCCGCUUAUAAGCCUGUAAGACAUAAGCGCCGUUCGUAUGAUGCCGAACGAUACGGAGCCAUGCGCACAGAGGUUGACAAACUUCAAACUAUCGGCUUCAUCAGGGAGGCUACAUAUCCAGUAUGGUUGACAAAUUCGGUAAUGGUCCGAAAAGCCACAAGCGGGUGGCGAAUGUGCCAAGACUAUACCAAUCUGAACAAGGCUUGCCCGAAGGACAGCUUUUCGUUGCCAAGGAUAGACCAGCUCGUGGACGCCACCGCCGGACACGAACUGCUCAGCUUCAUAGACGCCUAUUCGGGAUACAAUCAGAUAUUCAUGCACCCUUCCGACAGCGAACACACCGCCUUCAUAACGGACAGGGGGUUAUACUGUUACAAUGUCAUGCCGUUCGGCCUAAAGAACGCGGGGGCAACGUAUCAGAGGCUUGUCAACAGAAUUUUCGCCAAGUACAUCGGGAGCAUCAUGGAGGUUUACGUCGAUGACAUGUUGGUAAAGAGCAAAACCGCCGAAGGCCACCUGCACAAUUUAUCGAUCAUGUUCGGCAUACUAAAAGACUACCGGAUGAGACUCAACCCGAUGAAAUGCGCCUUCGGUGUGUCCUCCGGAAAAUUCCUCGAUUUCAUGAUCAGUCAGAGGGGGAUCGAAGCGAAUCCCGAAAAGAUAAAGGCAAUAAUCGACAUGGAGAGACCGAAGACGACAAAAGACAUUCAGAGCCUUACCGGACGCGUAGCCGCUUUGACCCGCUUCAUAUCGAAGGCUACUGACAAAUGCGUACCGUUCUUCAAAGCCUUGAAAGGGGGCAAACAGAAUAUCAUAUGGACUGCCGAAUGUGACAAAGCGUUUCAAGACUUAAAGGACUACAUGGGCAAAGCACCCCUUUUAUCAAAACCACUACCUGGGGAGAUUCUCUCCCUAUACCUUUCGGUAUCUAGCACUGCCGUCAGUUCGAUAUUGAUUCGAAAACCGGAAAAAGCAGAGCUACCGAUUUUCUAUGUCAGUAAGGCACUCCAAAGUGCUGAACUUCGGUAUCCCCCAUUAGAACAGCUUGCACUAGCCCUUGUGGUCUCGGCACGAAGACUUCGGCCAUACUUUCAAGCGCACGGAAUCAAAGUCCUGACUAACCAACCGCUCCGGUAAGUGCUCCUAAAACCAGAGACUUCUGGCCGAUUGAUCAAAUGGGCGAUCGAACUCGGAGAAUUCGACAUACAGUUCAUUCUAAGGCCCGCCGAAAAGGGUCAGGCUAUUUCCGAUUUCAUCUCCGAACUCACCCCAUCAAUAGCACAGCCGACACCCGAGCCGGUAAUCGAGACCGGAUUGCCGGAGGAACUGGACGCCGAACACUUUGAUGUCUCAACUCCCGUAUGGAUUCUGCACGUUGACGGCUCGGCAAACCAACAAGGGUGCGGAGCAGGCUUGGUACUGACAACACCGGACGGACUCAAGAUCGAGUACGCCCUCCGAUUCGACUUCCGAACCUCCAACAAUGAAGCGGAAUAUGAAGCUCUCUUGGCCGGCCUUCGGUUAGCCAAGAGCAUGAAUGCCAAACAAAUCAGAAUUCACAGUGACUCCCAGCUCAUUGUGAACCAGGUAACGGCAGACUUCGCGGCCAGAGACGCCUCCAUGCACGCCUACCUUUCGUCUACCCAUCAGCUGCUCCAAAGCUUCCGAGCCUACGAGAUCAAGCAGAUCCCCAGAACCGAAAACAGCCAUGCCGAUGCAUUGGCACGUCUGGCUUCGGCAAUCAACGACAAAAUCGGAAGAAAGGUGCCAGUAGAAAUUCUUGCCCAACCGAGCACGGUAGCCUUCGAAACAUGUACCGUACGGUACGAAGAUACAUGGAUGUCUCCUAUCUACUCGUACCUGACCAAUGGCACCCUUCCAGAAGACAAGGCCCGGGCCCGAAAGCUUAGGUACUGAUCAGCAAGGUACACCGUCAUCAACGACGUCCUUUACAAGCGUGGCUACACCACUCCAUAUCUCAAGUGCCUUAUGGCAAAACAGGGGGACUACAUCCUUCGGAAGAUCCAUAAUGGUGUGUGCGGCGACCAUUCCGGGUCCCGGUCACUCGCCCACAAAGCCUUUCGGCAAGGAUACUUUUGGCCGACCAUGCACCAGGACGCUAAUUCGCUAGUGAAAAAGUGUGAUAAAUGCCAGCGCUUCGGUAACAUACAACAUAUCCCUGCCGAACCCCUGACACCGAUCGUGAGUCCUUGGCCUUUCGCACAAUGGGGACUAGACCUGAUCGGUCCGAUGCCGCAAGGUAAAGGCCAGGUAAAAUACGCAGUGGUUGCCGUCGACUACUUCACCAAAUGGGUAGAAGCCGAACCUUUGGCAACCAUAACGGCGGCAAAGAUGGAGGAUUUCGUCUGGACUCACAUUUGUUGCAGAUUCGGUAUCCCAUAUGCAAUCAUUACCGAUAACGGCAGGCAGUUCGAUUCGGAACUUUUCAGGCAAUUUUUUCACCCGCCUGAAAAUCAACUUGUUUUUCGCAUCACCGGCCCAUCCCCAGUCAAACGGUCAAGUCAAAGCAAUAAACAAAAUCAUCAAGAAACUACUGAAACGGCAGCUGGACAAGGCCAAAUGAGCUUGGCCGGAAAAGCUUCCCGAAGCACUCUGGGCCAUUCGGACAUCUUACCAAACGUCCACGGGAGAGACCUCUUUCUCUUUGGCUUUCGGUUCGGAAGCCAUGGUGCCUGUGGAAAUUGGCAGGAACUUCCUACCGAACGGAAACCUUCGCACCGAAGCCGAAUGAAGAAGCACUUUCUCUAAGCCUCGAUCUUCUUGAAGAGCACCGGGCACAUGCCAACCUUCGGAAUGAAGCCUACAAGCAACGUGUCUCUCGGUAUUACGACUCCAGGGUCAGACACUGCUCAUUCCGAAUCGGAGACUGGGUCAUGCGGAAGGUAUCCCUAGCAACCAAGGAUGCUACGGAAGGGACUCUCGGACCUUCCUGGGAAGGACCCUAUGAGAUCAUCGGUAUCCUUCGAUCGGGAACCUACCGCCUAAGAGACUCCAACGGCAAGACCCUCGGUCAUCCUUGGAACAUGGAACAUCUCAAAUACUAUUUCAAGUAACCUAGCCUACGGUAGGACAAAGUUGUAACCGAUUGGAAUGUAUUUGCCCUUCGGCAGAGAUUAAUAGAAAGUCUUCGGCACUAUUACUUCAGAACCUCUUUUUAAAUCUCUACUAGCCCACGGCUGCCAAUAAUUUCGAGUUAACGUUCUAUGGCAUCUUUAUUAGCCUACGGCAAUAAAUGGUUUUCGAGGUUUUUACCCUACAGAUUCCAUCGGCAUCUUUAUUAGCCUACGGCAAUAAAUGACUUUCGGCGACAAUACGUUCGACAAUUUAAACACAUGUUCAGAUUGUUGAAACAGAUGAUAAAAACAAUAAUAAACUUUUAAAUUAAGGAUGCCCUUGGCACCAAUACGUUCAGAGUACAUAAAAGUUUACAAACUCAAAUUUAAGAGGCCCUCAGGCUUCGUCGCCGGCAGCAGCCUUGGCAGAACCAGAGCCUUCGGCGGCGUCCUCCCCCUCGUACUCCUCGAUCAUUUCCUCAGUUAUCCCUUCCGGUAGAGGAGGAGGAUCAGCGAUGAAGUUCAGAUUCAGCUUCUUCCCGGGGUUGUACCGUUUGAACCGAUACAACAGGUCCGUCAUCUCUGAGCCCACUUCCUUAUCCAGGAGACGAGCGGUACCCCCGGAUAGCUGACCGAACGGCAGCCUCGAUCUCCGCAGCCUUGGCCCGCUCCGACUCCUCCAAGGCCACCUGCACCGCCCCUUUGGCAGCCUCGGCAUCCUUCGCUGCCGCCAGCGCUGCCUCCAGGAGACCCUUCAUCUCCUCCACCUUCGCCUCCGAAGCGAGAACCUGCCGUUCGGCAGACUUUUUCUCCUUCAGCAGAUGGGCAUGGUCCUGGAGCGCUUUGCCAGCCUCGGCAACCUUGGCCCUGCCGUCCUCGUACGCCUUCUUGGCGCGCUCGGCAGCAGCAAUGGCCCGCUUGACGCAGAGCCACAUGUCCAUGGACGCCUGCACAAAACAAAGUCAGAAGCAUGCCCCACAUACAAAAAAAAAGGGACGAAGGAAGAAAGAAAAUCUUACCGAGGCCUGAAGCCGGAAGGUGCGUCCAGCCUCCUCCCGAAGAAGCUUCUUCGGUAGUUCGUCGAUCUCCGAAAGCUCCAUCUGGGAACCGAGGAUCAUAUGGUUGACGAACUGGACCGUCUUCGCGGGGCAGGCGAUGGUGACAGCUUCGGAAGGACCGUCCUCGUCCUCCACCGCAAGGAUAGCCCUUGGGACCUCCGAUUGGCGAGGGCGUUUGGGGACUGGCUCGGCUUCCAGAUCGACUGUCUCCGGCCGCUUGCCGGCAGUCUUGGAAGCGGCGGCCUCGGUAUCCCGAUGCCUCUGUCGAGCUGCCGGAUCCUACUCUACUUGGGACUUGGCUGCUUGAGUUUACCUGUCAGAAGAAGGAAAAUUAGUAAAAUAAAGCAGUGAAAAAGAAGAGAGAAGAGAAGCCGGCCUAUCAAUCGGUAUUUCGGGAACCUACCGGCAAUCUGAAAUGUCGUGGGGACUGAGAAGCGAAGGGGUGUUCCCGAUGGCGAUUUCCAAUCGCCGGAGAGUAGCACCCGCCGAUUCCUCCACGACUUUUGAGAAGUCGGCACCGAGCUGAUGAAGUGCCCCCGCUCGAAAGCCUUCAGGCAGUUCGCCUGAACCCAGCCGCCGUGAUCGGCGCUCUUGGACUUGGUAAUGCUGUAUAAGUACGAGAACUACUCGUAGGAAGGCUCCCCCUCCUCGGCAAUCCCGAAUGCAGCAACUACCCCCAUCAAGGUCACCCAGAAGUUGGGGUUGUACUAGUCAGGAGCGUACCCGAUCUGGGCAAGUAUCUUCUGCACGGCAGGUUGCAACAACAACCGAACCCCUUGCAGAAGAACAUCGGUGAAGAAGGUCACUUCGCCGUUCGCUGGGUCGCUGAGGGACUCGACAAGGCUCGGUAUCCUCAUCUUCACCGAGUCUGAAAUGAGGUACUCGGCCCUAAUCCUCUCCAGCUCUCGUUCGGUGAUCUUGUUGGGCUCCAAGUAGUCGACCCCGAACAAAGUCUUCUUCGGCACACCCACCGGUAUCCUAGGUAGCUCUCGGUGGAUGAUCGUCACCCUCGGCCGAGAGGGACCGGCAAUGCCCUCACCACGACCGGAGGUGGAGGCCUCCGGCUGACGCUCAAAAGGACCGACGCGGGUACCGUCCUUAUAAACCACGGCCAAGGGAAGCAGUUGCCCCGUCAUAAACCCCUUGCCGAUGCCAUGGGUGGGAACGGAGUUCACCUCCUCACCGAAUAACUCAACAUCGGUGUCUUCUCCACCCUCAACAUCGAGGCUCGCAGCCCCGCUGGAUAUGUCCCAGUUCGAUGACUCCCCAUCGAACGCGUUGGGCUCACUGCUGAACGGCGACUCGCUAUCGGACAUCUACAAAACAAAGAAAGGGAAGCUAAGGCCCGUGCCACAAACUACCCUACCGAUGCCUACAUCGCUACCUAUGGCCACUAGACUACCGAAGAAAAAUCUUAUUUUACGUUCGGCUAGCCUACGCCAUGAAAAGACGUGCAAUUAAAAAGGAGAGUAUUUUAGGGGGUACCGAACGGUAUCUUACCUUGAGUAGUGUGGGAUGAGUUGAUCACCGACCACAGACUUCGGAAAUCGCCCUGUAUGCCGAGAACCGCUGUAAAAAUCGCCUUGAUUGUCGUUCAUUCUCUUCAGAAAUCUCCCGCACAGAGCUCUCGCGUCAAUUCACAAUUGCAAAGUGAGCCUUACGUCCGGAGCAACCUCUAUUUAUAGGGAGAGAGCUGUAACAGUAUGUCUCGGAAGACUAAACGGCUCUUUAAUGCGCCGUCAGACGUGCUUUUGCUGGCCACGUGUCACCCGACGAAUGGCGCCGCCGACUGCACGCCAGGCACGGAAGACGAAGCAUCACUCUGCCCUCUCGCCUCUCAGCAUCGACGACCCCUCGGGUCCCAGGUCAGUCUCUCCCGAACGAUAUCUUCCGAAAGGAUCGACACAAGCAUCCUUUCCUCCCCCCAAACGAGCCUACCGAACGGCAGGGUAACCUCCGAACUGCCCUAGAGAACUAAAUUCCCUUCCGAAGGACCUUCGGAAGAGAACUUGGGGGACUACUAUUUAUACCGGAGACAAAGGCCUAUGACCACCGAACACGUGGACAGGAUCGAUAUUGAUCGCAGAAACCCUUCGGCAUGCUGCCUACCGAAGCCGUCCAUUUUGACCCUUUUACUACCGGACACGUGUCAUGCUCACAAUUCGUGUCCGCAGUCCCACAUCGGAAAUAUGAGCACAAUGCACACCUCCCAAGGCCUAUAUAAGAAGACCCAUAUCCCCAAAAGGAAGGGAUCAGAACGAACGGUACGCUACCGAUUGAUCUGUCAGUUUAACAUUACUAAAACCGUACUUACUAAAGCAUCGGAGAGCCUUCAGUCGAUACCACACCGGUACCCCAAGGACUUACCGAACGCGUCCUUUUGCAGGUACUCAGCCUUCCGAAGCAAGACGUCUUCCGAAGAUAGCCACCUGCCGAAGGCAUAAUAUCACUAAGUUGGUGAAAUAUGUGCCGAGCCACUUUUUCGCAUCAACACACUCCUUGUUGGAUACAUGGAUCUGCCGACGCUGCCGAUAGUUCCUGACAAUCUUGGGUGGGGUUUGAAGCAUCUGUAUAUAUGUGUCGUCGAAACCAAGUAUGAUGUCCUCUGUGAUUUGAACCAUCCAUGCCAUCCAAUUGAAAGACUUAUUAAAUUCCUCCUCCUCCUCUGAAUCGAGUACUACUGCUAGUCAGUCAUCAAAAGUGGCUUGCUCUUACAAUGAUGAAGACGGUGUUGUCCUUCCCCGCCUUAUCGGCUGCGGCGUCUUUGGCUCGCAAAUUCUUUUCGCCUAGCUAGUGUCGGUCAAGCACAGAACUUUGUGGGUUUGAGAUGCCUUCAACCUUAACUUCUACUGUUGAAUCAAGUAGUUCACAGCUAAACAACAUCAUCAUCAAGCCCAAAAGAUUUAUUAGCAAUUGCCUAGGAGGCAAACCUCAUCCUCUGCUGGUGGAGCUGCGCGGGAGACUCUAUGCUCUUGCGGGUAAUCCCACAGCCUGCCGCAGCGAUGUGUGUUUCGAGGUAUUCAACAACAAGAGAUGCAAAACGUGGGCCCCUCUCCCGUACCCUCCAUGUUUCCAUAAGAACUCUCCAUUUUUCCUGAUGGCCUACGGUCAUAACCAGUGUUUUCAAAGGCAUGCCUUUGCGCGCGUCGGAGCGAGGCGGCAGGUAAUCUCCUAAGGCGGUCGGCUGUUUCGCAAGUUGCACUUUUAGCGCGGGCAAUGCGUGAAGAGGCGUUGCAAGGCGUGGCUAGGCGGAGCAAGGCGGCGCUAGAUCUGGACAAUUCUGAACCGGAAGAGAUUGUGCAGAUGAGUCUACAAAAUGGCUGCGAGGAAAAUGACUCUGCGAGGAAGAAGAGUCGCAUAUUUUGUUUUUAGGGUUAAAUGAAACGAUGUCGUUUCACUUGAGUGUUUUGAAAAAUAUAAAACGCAAGCUGUUGGCUGUGGCUUUCAAUUUCAAUAUUGAUAAUAUCUUUCUUGCCCUUUUGUUUUUUUGUUUUUUUCUUUUUUGGGGUAAAGAUGAACUUUCAUAAAUAAAGACCAAAGAUUCUUUCCCUUUUCUAACUCCCGGCGACUGUAGCCUUUAUUCUUCUUACCCCUUUUUUUUUUUUUUUCUAAAUUAAUAUAUUAAUAUAUUAACAUAUGGACUUAUAUAUAUAUAUAUAUAUAUAUAUAUAGAGAGUAUAACCCUAAUUUCUACUCUUACAAGAUAAUUAUCAAUUUCAAGAAAUCUCUUCAUCUUUAUACUACAAGUAAGCCACUCUAUUUUUCUCUCUAAUGCUUCGCAACUGUAAUUUGAAAUUUCGUAUAAUUUAAUUGUAUUGUAUUAUUCAUAAUUUUUUCUUAUUAAAAUAAAUUAAUGUUCAAAAGGCUUACGCCUCACUACUUCAAGGUUUACGCCUUGCAUAGCGCGACUAAAACACUUUGCAUCAACGCCUCACCUUUUAAAACAUUGGUCAUAACUUCUCUUAUGCAUUGCCAGCACUAAGAUCAUGGUGUGCACCCAAGACACUCCAGCCGGUGUUCUGCUUCGACGUGGCAGACCCAAAGGGAGAAUGGGAAAUACUACAUUCUAUGUGCGCAGGCAGUCCUUUUCCUUUCGUAGGGAGGGCUUUAGUUGUGGACUUGUCGAAAUCGUCCUGGUGGCACCAAGGAUAAGUUACUCUUUGCCUAUGUAAAAAUUGCUGAAGAUGAUUGGCGUAUAGUAGCCUAUUGCAUGUACAAUAACGAGUCUCGCAUUCGGCGCAUCCAAGGUUUGCCGCCCCUUGCAAGGGCGCCUAAUCAACGUUGGUAGACGAAGAGCUCGUCUAGUUUUGCCCAUUUAGGAGGUACAAAAGUCUGCUUUGUUUUGGCCUCUUACUUGCGAGACUAUGAAUAUCCUUUUAAUGGGUAUGGUGAGAAGAUGCAUCUUAUGGUCCAAACAUUUGAAUAUUCCGUCUCCAAAGCGUAUGAACCUGCCACUGAUAGUGAUGAUGUAAGAUCCUUAUCCGUUAAAGUCCUGUCUACUUGUAUCUUUGAAUAUGAUUGGCGUGAUGAACCUCAUAGAACACUCUGUGCUGAACUGCUUGGUUGCUUUGUGCUGUGAGUAUGGAUAUUGUAUUUUGUUGAUCUUGAAAUUGCAAUUGGCGUAAGGUUUUUAUUGCCUUUAUGCUUUCUGUUCUUGUCUUAGACUUCUUUGCAUGAUUAUAGGGAUUAACUCCAAAGUAAGCGAUAUAUGAGAACUUUUCUUGCACAUUUUGAUUUCUGCUUCUCAUUAAUAAGAGGUUGCGGUUCCUUAUAAUUUUGAGUCCUCCCUUAAUUUGUCGGAUUAUGUAACACCCUGACUCCAAAUUUAAUUACCCAUUUAAUUUACUUAAGUGAAAUUACGAAUUUACCCUUGGGUAGGGGUAAUUUGGUCAUUUUCUUAUCCGAAAAGAUUUUGGGACAACGAGUGGAUGGUUAAGUAGGUCGUAUUGAGACGAGUCCGUAGACACAUAAAGAGCUCGAUUCGGAGUUGCAACGAAGAAGUUACAAGCAAAACAUCACCAAUGGCACAAUCGUAAUUAUUUCAAAGUUGGUUUGAUAAAAACCUACUCUCUCUCUCUCUCUCUCUCUCUCUCUCUCUCUCUCUCUCUCUCUCUCAUUUUCUUUCUCCCCGUCGCGAACAGCCCCCUUCCCUUCGUUUUUUUUUCUGCACAGCCGGUGGCUUCUCUAAGCCGCCGCCGCCGCCACCGUCAACAACUGGCCUCGAGACCGGACCGGUUUGAACCUUUCUUUCCCCGUCCUUUCCCAACCAGGUUCAGCUACCGCCGUUGGCCCUGCUCGCAGGAAUCUCCAAAAACCACCCAGUGGCAAUAUUAUAUUAUCUAAGAGCAUUUUUGUUCACUACUUUUAACCUAAUAUGUAGUUUCACCAUCAUUCUCAAGACUUGACGCAUGUCUAUGGAUAAUAGUAGAACCAUAGGUUUUUUUUUUUUUUUUUUUGGAUUGUGUGAUGAUAUUACAAUGAGAGAGACAAUACUCCCACUCAAAAGUGGAUGAAAUUAAUCACUUAUUACAACUGGACUUGUUACUUAAUUCUUAUCUUUAAAAAUUAAUAUAUGACCAAAAACAAAUUCUUUAAAAGUAAUAUUAAAAAAAAAUAACAAAGUUAAAAGAAGUUAGAAUUUUCUGUAUUUAGUUUUCGGAUCAUUUAGAAAUUAAGCAAUUAAAAGUCUAGUUCUAGGAUCUAGGUCACUUUGAUUUUUUAUAUGUUUUUUCUUUAGCAAAUUUGAAAAAGGUGAAGUUAUUUAAGGGAUCGAUACUUUGAAAUACAUUACUUAUUUCUUAUGUGGAAACUGAAAGGGGGUUCAUUUUUUAUUUUUGCACAUUGUCGCAUAUACAUCUUCUCUUUUUAAGGUCUUUUCCUAUUGAAAUGGGCCAUAAUAUUAAACUCACACACAUUACACAGAUAGGACUCGAACCCAGAACCCUGCAUGAGGGAGUAAAUACUCCAAACCAAUACACUAGUGGGUCCUUUGUGCAUAUGUAUCUUUUGUCCCAAUCAAAUCGACAAACUGUGCUCAAAUUGUACAGCGGAAGAUCUUUAGAAAUUAAAGCAUAAUAUUGAUUUUAUACAUUGUGCAUUUUGCAUGAGGCGUGCGUGAGGCUUUCUCAAUAGCAUCCAUAUAUAAACAUGUAUACAAAGUUAAGAAAACUAUUUCCUAGUCUUAAGAAAAUCUAUACUUUUGGAUUUGGAGGAGGAAACAACCAUUUUGAACCUUGAAUAUAGCCAAGGCUGAGGAAAGGCUUGAUUUGUUCCUCAUUCAGCUGUGUGGCGUAUUUUGCUCUCCUAGCCAUACUUGAACCUGGGCUCGAACGCAUGUACUCUCCAUAGAACACAGUGCUACAAUAUUAUUACGGCAUACACAAAAAAAAGAAAAAAAGAAAUUAGUGAUGAGCAUUAAUUAAUUUUCAAAACCAAUCAAUUUUUUGAAACUGUUUAAUUAGUGUAUAUUAAUUUGCUUACCUGACACGUUUGGGGCGAUUAUUGUCGCUCUAGCCAGCGAGGUUGAUGACCUCAAACAUGCUGGUGUAGGCAUAGACCACCAUGGGACUGGUCCUUCAAGCCCUACCCAAAUAUGUGUUACUUCCAAUCCCAGUUAUUUUGUAGUGGACAAAUGAGUACUGUAAGAUCCCACAUCAACCAACGGAGAAGGGGUGAUGUGCCUAAUAUGUGCACACCCGCAUCCAUCUAGCACGAGGCCUUUUGGGAGCUCACUGGCUUCGGAGUCGUAGGAACUCCGAAGUUAAACGAGUUGAGGGCUAGAGCAAUCCCAGGAUGGGUGACCUACUGGGAAGUUGCUCGUGAGUUCCCAGAAACAAAACCGUGAGGGCAGAGAGGGGGGCUCAAAGCGGACAAUAUCAUGCUACGGCGGAGCCGAUCCCGGGAUGUGACAAUUUGGUAUCAGAGCCACUCUGCCGUGUGGUGCGAGUGUGCCGACGAGUACGUCGGACCCCUAAGGGGGGUGGAUUGUAAGAUCCCACAUCGACCAACGGAGAGGGGGUGAUGUGCCUUAUAUGUGCACACCCGCAUCCAUCUAGCACGAGGCCUUUUGGGAGCUCACUGGCUUCGGAGUCGUAGGAACUCCGAAGUUAAGCGAGUUGGGGGCUAGAGCAAUCCCAGGAUGGGUGACUCACUGGGAAGUUGGUCGUGAGCUCCUAGAAACAAAACCAUGAGGGCAGAGAGGGGGGCCCAAAGCGGACAAUAUCGUUCUACGGCGGAGUUGAUUCUGGGAUGUGACAAUUUGGUAUCAGAGCCACUCUACCGUGUGGUGCGAGUGUGCCGACGAGGACGUCGGGCCCUUAAGGGGGAUGGAUUGUAAGAUCCAACAUCAACCAACGGAGAAGGGGUGAUGUGCCUAAUAUGUGCACACCCGCAUCCAUCUAGCACGAGACCUUUUGGGAGCUCACUGGCUUCGGAGUCGUAGGAACUCCGAAGUUAAGCGAGUUGAGGGCUAGAGCAAUCCCAGGAUGGGUGACCCACUGGGAAGUUGCUCGUGAGUUCCCAGAAACAAAACCAUGAGGGCAGAGAGGUGGCUCAAAGCGGACAAUAUCGUGCUACGGCGGAGCCGAUCCCGGGGUGUGACAAUUAACUGAAAGGACCCGCCCCGAAUUUUUCAAAACCCGAGGCGACCCUUUGGAAUUCUUGACAUCACCCCGAUGCCAGGCCCGUUUACUAAAGGUCGAGACUUCCUGCCGAAAUUUCGGCAGAGUCUCCCUUAUAAAUUGAACGUUUCCCAAAAUUACAACCUGCAUAAAAACGCAUUUAAUAUUCACAACUGGCAGCAUGCACAAUAAAAUUUCAUGCAAAUUCACAUAAAUGGCCUUUGGUCUUCCAAUAAUUCUCAACCAACUACCAAACAAUUCAAAUACCAAUUAUGACCAACAUUUAGUCUGCGGCUGCACCUAAUAACCUUAGGCUGCCUACGUACCCUCCUUGAGGGAUCAAGCCACACGUAGUUCUUCCCUAAAACCCAAUUCCACACUUAGGCGAUACCUUAUUUCAUUUCUCUGUAUUUCAUAUAAUCUCCCGAUACGCCGGUACAACCAACGCCACGUAUGGGGCCUGUCAAUACGCUGGAUAACCUACGCCACGUGCGACCAUGUCAUACUAUCAUAAUAUCUCCCCAUACGCCGGUACAACCAAUGCCACGUAUGGGGCAUGUCUCAACGCCGGAUAACCUACGCCACGCGAGACCUGCACAUCAUAUCACAUAUCUCCCCAUACGCCGGUACAACCAACGCCAUGUAUGGGGCCUGUCCCAACGCCGGAUAACCUACGCCACGUGGGACCUCAACAUCAUAUCACAAAUCUCCCCAUACGCCGGUACAACCAACGCCACGUAUGGGGUCUGUCGACAUGCCAGAUAACCUACGUCACAUGCGACCUCAACACAAUAUCACAUAAUCUCCCCAUACACCGGUACAACCAACGCCAUGUAUGGGGCCUGUCUCAACGCCGAAUAACCUACGCCACGUGAGACCUGAACAUCAUAUCACAAAUCUCCCCAUACGCCGGUACAACCAACGCCACGUAUGGGGCCUGUCCCAACGCCGGAUGACCUACGCCACGCGGGACCUCACUUUCACUUGGUGGUACUUGUAGUGGAACCAAAAUCCGAGGAGGUACCUAAGGUAGUGCGUAUAGCACUCCAAACUGACAUUCUAGACUCUUUUGUACCCUUGUACAAACAUAUUAUAAUUAUAAUUAUAAAUAUUAAUUCUAAUAUUGUGUAACCCUCCACAAUAGUCUGGUACCCGAUAAUCUCCCUUAGAAAGGAGAGAUUACUCCGGGAGACUCACGGUCAACCAAGGGUCAAACUACUCUAACACUGGUCAAACGGACUUGCGGAACCCACGACCUCCAAUUUCCUAUCCGAAAGUCCCUAUGGGUUCUACCAGGUACAGGACACUUGUCCUGCAAGUUUGGUUCAGAUCGGACGGUCGGAUCGCUCACGAUCGCACGACCUGACGGUUAAUAUAACAUAUAAACUUUAAAUUAUUAUUCAGAACAUCCGGGGCUCCGAUUCAUAAUCCAUGAAUUCCUACACGAUCCUAGAAUUACCUAGAUUAACAUAUAAUAAAUUUGGGACCAUCCAACGGUCCCAACCUAUCGAACCCGGAUAACGCACAAUAUGCGAUCGUCCGUUCGAUAGUCAAACGAUGUCCGAAUUGAGAUCCGCGAAAUCCUACGCACUUGUGACAACCUAAGGAUCUCAUCGAGACAUAGUGCCACUUUUUCUACAGUGCCUAUGCGCCGCCGCACGCGCCGGCAGCGCGUGGGUGCCCAAAGCGAGAACGCUUCACCAGAAAAUCUUAAAACCACGGCUCCAAACUCCUACCCUAGGUAUAACACCCUAUUUGGAGCCACUUUUGUUCUUGGACCUACCCCAAAAAGUGGCCGAAAAUGGCCGAUCACGGCGGCCGAAGUUCGGCCAAUUUUCAAUUCGAAAAUCGAGUUGGCUACGCUAAGAAUCGAUCUAAUCCUACCCAACCAUCAGCUAGAACAGCUCGAGAGGUUCAAGAUCCAUACCUGGGUCGACGGAAAUGGUGGCCGGAGGAGGGAGAUCGACGACGUUGAAGUUUCGAUGACCUCCCGGCGGUUUUCUGCAUUUUUCGACCAGCACAGGCCGCGUCGCCGGCGGGGAACGGUCGGGGAAGGAAGGGGACGUCGUCCUGGUCAUUUUGGUACCGGCCCCGCCCACAGCCGUGGUCGGUGGCCGGAGAUACGAGGAGAGAGAGAGAGCCGACGGGAGAGAGAGAGAACUCGCGGGAGAGAGAGAGAGAGAGAGAGAGAGAGAGAGAGAGAGAGAGAGAGAGAAAUCUGAGUUUUCAUAAAAAAUCUCAUUUCAAAAUAUUUACGAUUGUGCCACUGAGCUUCUUUUGACCAUAUCUCUCUCGUUACAACUCCGAUUCGAGCCCACUACGUGUCUAUGAACUCGUCUCAGUACGACCUAUCCAAAAAUACUAGUCACUGCCCCAAACUCUCUCCAGUUAAAAAUAUGACUAAAAUGCCCUUAAAUAAUUAAAUAAUUAAAUAAGGGGUAAAUUUGGGGUCGGGGUGUUACAAGUACCCAGUAUUCUCUGAAGUCGAGUCCCUUGCUUGUGUUGUUAUAACUGUUAUUCCAUUAUCCAAUACAUGUAACUCAGUGUUCUGCACCCAUUAAUUAAUUAACCAUCAAAACCAUGACAUAGUAUAUAUAGACAACCAACAAGCUCAAUUAUAGCGAUGAGUUAGUAGUACAUAACGUUUCUCAUACAUGUAUGUGAAAUUCACUAUUAUAUGACGAGACUCGCGUAUAGCGUUCUGAUUUGUUAUAUAUACAGUUCCUUUUUAUUGAAGGAUUCCUCAAAUAAUUAUUUGAGGGAUGCCCUUCAGGGUACCCUACAAUUUUUUUUUUCAAUGAUCCAAACCAUCUAUUUUUUAGGUCUUCAUUCAUAGAUCAUCAUCACAAAAAAUUAGAAAUAUUGGAAACUGUUUCGACAUCCAAUUGUGGCCUACAAAAUCAAUGAACACGGUGGUGCUUCAAGAAAUUACCAAAAUUUCAAUAACUCAAUUGAGUGGUCCAAUGAUAUUGGAUUCAAUUGAUUUUCUGUAGAGAUGAUCUUUGAAUGUGUAUCUACAAAAUAGAUGGUUUGAAUUAGUAAAAUACAAUCCAGAGUGAGCACUACAAGGGGUGUCCCUCAAAUAAGCUUAUUUGAGGAUUUCUCAAUGGAAGCUCUCUGUGUACACUACUACAAAAAAAAUACUUUGCGUGACAAAAUAAGUUUGUUACGCAAAGUACAAUUUCAUCACGCAAAACCUGUGUGACGAAAUUUUGGUUUGCCACCAAAACUUGUGUGACGAAAUUGUGGUCUCGCAAAGCUCGUGAAGAUAAGGUUUACGCGACGAAAAAUAAUAUUCAUUGUGCGGAGCUACUUUGAGCGACGUACCUUAACGUCAUGCAAAUCUACUUUGCCCGACGAAUCCUAACAUCGCACAAAUAUUUGCGCGACGAAAUAUUUCAAAUAUUUUAAUUUUUGUGUUUUAAAAUUUUUUAAUUAAAAUAAACUAAUUUAAUAGUUUGCUCGACGAAAUCUUUUUGUUGCGCGAGGUUUUUGACUUUUUGUUUUAUUAUUUCUCUUAUAUUAAUUUAUUCAAAUUUUUACUUUUUCAAUUUAAUUGUAUGAUUUUAUUUUUUUAAUUACUUUAAUUUAAAUUGACAUAUUCUAAAUAAAAUUACAUAUGAAAAAUAGUGAUCAAAUUAUCCAAUAUAUAUAAUAUUCAAAAUGUACACAUAAAUUAACAAAGUAUAAUAAUAAAAUCCUAAUACAAGCCUAUUAUGGUGGUAGUGGCGGAGGAUAUGUUUCGCUAGCAUCCUAAUCCUCAACUUUAGCAGUCAAAGUCUUGACAAUUCCCUACAGAAAAACAAAUAUGGUUGCGCGACCAAAAAAUUUCCGCGUCCCAUUUUGGUGCUUGCCCAAAUUUUUAGAGUUUUGCACAACGAAUUGUUGGUCGCGCAAAGUUUUGCGCGACCAAAAAAUUCCCGCAUCUUUGUGCGACCGAAAAAUUCCCGCAUCACAUUUUUUGUGCCCACCCAAAUUUUUAGAGUUUUGAGCAACGAAUAUUUAUAAAUUGGUUCAUAGUGCAAUAUCUAUAAAAAUAAUUGUUAUGAAUAAUAAAAAAUAAAAUUAUUUUAUUUUAUGAUUUAAUAAUAAGGUUAGUUGCUACGAAGCAAUUGGAUUCAACAAUCACUGUGGCACUGUUCACAAUUCCAUACUUUUGGGCUGUGUCAGCAAAGGUCAAAGUUGGCAUAUUUUUUAGAGAACCAUAAAAUAUAACAAAUGGUUUAUUCCGCGGAAUUGUGAUUUCUUCAUUGUACUCUCCCCCUCCAAUGACACUUUUGGUGUUGUCGGCAAGAAUCCUAUUAACGCCAUCAGUGAUGGUCUUGGAAUUAGAUAAACUCUUGAACCUCUUCCAAUCGUGAACCACAGCCGUCAGAUCAGCCACCUUAGCACCUAUAGUCCGGCAGUAAUUGGCAUGGAUGGCUGUGACAGCUUUGAACCCUGCUAACUUCACAGAAGCCACUGAAGUAAAGGGUGUCCAACAUCUUCAUCCUCUUUCAAUAUGGUGGAGUAGUUUUCCAGGCGUACCAUUUGUCGAAUAAGGAGACUGUUCUGCUGUUGGAUCUCACCAUGUAGAAGUUUGUACUGAUGGGGUUUUCUUCAGUACCAUUUGUCGCCAUUGAAGCUGAAAAAUGUAUUGCUUUCUUAAUUUUCUCUACGUGUAAUUAUACUGUGUUUAUACAAAUAUAUAAGAGUAACGUUUAGUUGCCAUACUGAGUAUCGUGCAUACAGAUUCAACAAAAUCAUUUUACGAACUCACAGUCUGGCAAUAGAAAAUUUUACUUGAUUUAUGGCAUCUUUUAUGAGAAAUGUAGAUAUGGUUAUGUAAUAUAUUAUUUAUCACAUUUUGCUUGGGUUGAAGUUAAAUUCGUUUUACAAUAGUUUGAUAUGUUAUGUUGUUGGACAAUUGAUCAAUUGAUGGAGACCGACAACCUCAUAUAUAAUAUGUUGAAUAGGGGAGUUCUCCUCCGCAUGAUGUUGAUAAAAUCCUGAGACAUACAGUUUCUCAGCCCAAAAAUCUCAGACAUGUAUAUUUGAUCCAUAACAAAUCAAUAAAUUACAAUUUAUUCUAGCACUAAAACAUUGGCAACAAACAAGCUUUUCCAUCCCAAAAUUUUCAAAAUUGAACUUUAAUUACUAAAUUGUGGAACCUAUUAAGAAAAUUAUAUCCAAUAUCUACACUUUGGGAUUUGGAGGAGGAAGCAGCCAUUUGGAACCCUGAAUAUAGCCAAGGCUUAGGAAAGGUUUGAUUUGUUCGUCCGUCAAUUGUUUGGUGUAUUUUACUCUCCCAGCCGCACUUGAACCUGGACCCGAACACUUGUAUUCUCCAUAGAACACAGUGCUACAAUAUUGCCACAUACACAAAAAAAAUAUACAUAUAUAUAUAUUGAUAAGUAUUAAUUAACUCUCAAAACCAAUCAAUUAUAUGAAACUGUUUAAUUAGUGUAUAUAAUUUUGCUUACUUGUCACGUUCGGGGUGGUUAUCGUCGCUCCAGCCAGCGGGGUUGAUGACCUCAGACAUGCUGGUGUAGGCAAAGACCACCAUGGGACUGAUCCUCCAAGCCCUGCCCAAAUAUGUGCCAUUUCCAGUCCCAGUUAUCUUGCAGUGGACAAAUGAGUAUCCAGUAUCAUCUGAAGAUGAGUCCCUUGCUUGUGCUGUUAUCACUGUUAAUCCAUUAUCCCCCACCACAUGUAACUCAUUGUUCUGCACCCAUUAAUUAAUUAACCAUCAAAACCAUGACAUAAUAUAGACCAUCAACAAGCUCAAUUAUACAAAUGAGUUAAUCGUACAUAUAACGUUUCUCUUACAACAUGUACGUGAAAUUCACUAUUAUAUGACGAGACUCGCAUAUAGAGUUCCUUAAUAAAUUUUCCUUUCAUUGAGGAAUUAUAAGGAGAGUUUGGGUGACAUUACCAAAUAGAGAGACUUUCCACUUCCCCAGAUGAAAUCCACAGUGCCUUCAAUAAAGCAGUCCUUCAAAAAAUGAUUGCCCUUGUCAUCACAAAAGGUGUCCUGGAAACCAAUAAGUUUGCAAUUGUACAAGGCUGACUUAUUCCCCGACACCCUCAAUGCCACUGCCUGCGCUCCCACUGCUUUCCCAUCUGGCCUUGGUGAAGAGUUCUUCACAACCACAAAUCAACGCAAAUUUUUAUCCCCACACAAAAAUAAUAAAAGAAUGUCGACAAAUAUUUAUUCUGUGAUGAUAAUAUCAUGUGACAUGUUGAUUUGAUAAAUUUAAAUACCUUAAUAAUAACAUUAGCUGCCAUAAAGUAGUCAGAUUCAACAAUCACUGUGGCACUGUUCACAGUUCCAUACUUUUGGGCUGUGCCAGCAAAGGUCAAAGUUGGCAUAUUGGUUGGAGAGCCAAAAAAUGUAACAAAUGGUUUAUUCCGUGGAAUUGUGAUUUUCUCUUCGUACUUUCCCUCUCCAAUGUACACAAUGACACGUUUGGUGUUGUCGGCCGGAAUGCUAUUAAUGGCGUCAGUAAUAGUCUUGAAUUGGCCACUUCCAUCUUUCAUGACCUUGAUGACGGUUUGACCAGCCUCAGCCGUUGCAAGGGCAGGGUCAAGCGUGCCCUGCCGCUCUGUGUACGGCUUCACAUUGUUAUUGAACCACGUGUUGACUUGGGGUUGGUUGGCUGGUAUCGGUGUAUCAUCAUCCGCCAUGGCUAUAGUGGCAGUGAGGAGAAUUAAUGUCAUGGUUAGAGUUGCAUCAACGCCCAUGCAUGUUGUUUUUCCGACCAUUUUUUUCAUUAAUUUUUUUUGGAUUUUUGGUUUUGAGGUUUUGUAUGUUUUUGGGUGCUAUUGAUUAGAAUGGUAGAAGGAUUUGAUUUUAUAGUCCACUAUGCAAGAGCUAUUGAGGCACAUAUUUAGAGGGAUUCAUCCAAAAUUGGUGAAACUUGGAGAGCUUCUCGCACAUUUUGAUUUCCGAUUAGUGGCUAAUGUUCAUUGGGAUUUCAGAUCCACACUUUGAAUUAGCUAAUUUGGGAAGGAAGAGGACAUAAUUAAGAGAGUUUUACUUAAUCAUCUCAUGUAAAAUCUCAAUUAUAGCCUUGACAAUUAAGGAUAUAGCAUCAUAUACUCACAAAUUAGCAAGGGUGGAGCCAUAGUUAGACUAGGUGGGCUCCACCCCAGUACAACUAACUAGAAAAACGGAAUUUAGUGUUAAUUUUAGGAAGUUCAUCUUAUUUAAUGGAAUUCAUCUCAUUCAGAAAAAAUGUAGUUCACUCAAAUUAGAAAGAGUGCAGUUGUCACUGAGACAAUUAAUCCUCUUGAUAGGGUGACAAUACAUUUAUAAAAAAUAUAUAUAUGUCUUUAAUUAUUUUCAUGAUCAUUUAGAAGUGAAGCAAUUAAAACCCUAGCCCCAAGUCACUUUGCAUUUCCACGCAGUGUUUUCAAAGGCAUGCCUUCGCGCGUGUCGGCGCGAGGUGAGAGGAAAACACCCAAGUUGGUCGACUGUUUCCAGAGUUGCACGUUUAGCGCUGGGAAGGCGUGAGAAGGCGUUGCAAGGCGGGGCCUGGGGGAGCGAGGCGUUGCAAGGCAUACCUGAUCUGGAAACUUCUGAACCGGAAGAAAUUUGAGAGUCUGCAAAUUUUCUGUGAGGAAGACGACUUGCUUUUUUUUUUUAGGUUUGUAAUGAAACGACGUUGUUUUGAUUGCAGUGUUUUAAAAAUUAUCUUAUAGUGAAACGACGUCGUUUCACUUGGAGUGUGUUGAAAAAAUAAAAAAACAUAAGUUUCAGUUUUUUUUUCCUUACCUUUAUUGUAAUAAACUUAAGGCAAGAAUUAAUAUUUUUCUUUUUUUUCCUAACUCCAACCGGCUGUAGCUUUUGUACUUUCCUUUUUUUUUUUUUCCUUUAUUUCUCUUCUCUAAAUGAAUAUAUUAACAAAUGGACUAUAUAUAUAUAUUGUAUAGUACGUGUACAACCCUAAUUUCUACCCUUACUAGAUAACUUCAUCAAUUUCAAGAAUUCUCUUCAUCUUUCGACUGCAAGUAAGUCCUUUUUUUUUUUUUUUUGACAUACAUGCAUCAUACUUGUAUAAUUUGACUGUAAUAAACUGUAAUUUGAAGUUUCGUAUAAUUUUUUUUCAAUUUUUUUUAAAAAAUAUACUAGUUAUCUUAUUCGUUUAUGUGAUAUGGUAGAAAUUUGACGUAUAUGCAUCAUACUUGUACCUUAGAAAUAUUAAUGGUAUUGUUUUAUAGAUAUGAAUCGAAAAGAUCUUGCGUGGAAGUAUGCAAAAGAAAUAGAGGGGGAAAAAUACUUGAGAUGCGCAUUUUGUGAUCAAAGAUGCAGUGGAGGAAUUUCUAGACUUAAGCAUCAUUUAGGUCAAACUCAUCAUGGUAUGCAACCAUGUAAGAAAGUUCCUGAGCAUGUGAAAAAAGAGUGUGCCACAACUUUGAAAAAUCUUCAGCUUGAAAAAAGAAAGAAAAAUGAAAUGCUUAGAGAGACUGGGGAUGGUCUAGGAGGAGGGGCUCUGAGUGUGGAAAUUUCAUUGGAUGAAUAAUAUGGAAUCCCUGGUACUAGGAGUGCUGCAGUUGAUAAGCCACAACUUCAUCAACCAAAUCAAAGGACCAAUGGAUAGAUUUGUCACUUUAGAAGCUUGACAAAGUACAUUAAAUUCAGCAUACAAACAAGAAGAAAGAAAGGAAGUUUGUCGAAAGAUUGGUCGUUUUUUCUUCUCUAUAGCACUUCCAUUUAAUAUUGUAAAUGAUCCAUUUUGGCUACCUAUGGUGGAAGGGAUUGCCGCAUAUAGUGUAGGAUUUAAGCCUCCAUCAAUGCAUGAGAUGAGGACUUGGAUGAGUUCUUUCACGAAAAACAAAGAGAUAAUUCGCCCUGCAAUCACACGGUUUGCCACUUCUUAUCUUACUCUUCAAAGCAUCUAUAAGCAAAAGCAACCUCUUCAGGCAACGUUUUCUUCUAGAAAAUGGCACAAUGGACCAUUUCUCCAACAUAAUGAAGGUAUUAGGGCUCACUCAACUAUACUAUAUGAUGUUAAUUUUUGGUCCCAUGUUGCUUUUUGCAUCAAAAGUGUUAUUCCAUUAGUAUUGGUUUUGAGAGAAGUUGAUUCAGAGGAGAGACCUGCUAUGGGAUUUAUUUAUGAGUUAAUGGAUGUUGCAAAAGAGAAGAUUGCUUUUAAUUGUGGAAAAGUUGAAAGAAAGUAUAAACCAGUUUGGAGAAGAAUGGGGCCACAACUUCAUCAACCUUUACAUGCUGCUGGUUAUUAUUUGAACCCUCAAUUGCGUUAUGAAGAAACUUUUUCUAAUGUUGAUGAAGUGAGGAAGGGAUUGGAAGAUUGCAUGACUACGAUGUUGUCUUUUGAGGAUCAUAUGGCUGCUGAUAUCCAGUUGGACUUGUAUGAUGAGGCAAAAUGAGAGUUUGGAAGUCGUCUUGCUGUGAAUUCAAGGAAACUACGAACUCCAGGUUAUAAUCUUUACUUUUUCAUUUUCAUUCGAGUAUAAUGAACACUUGAAAUAAAUGUUAAACUUAAUUAGAUGGAUUUGUUUUUUUUUUUAGCAAAUUGGUGGAAGCGUUUUGGAAGGGACAUACCUGAGUUGACGAAGUUUGCUAUUCGGGUCCUUAGCCUUACUUGUAGUGCAUCUGGGUGUGAGAGGAAUUGGAGCACAUUUGAGCAGGUAAAGUUCUUCUGUUAAUUUAUUGUUCAAAUUUUGAUGCUUCUAAAUCUAAUUUUGUAUGUUUAUAUUCAUUUUAGAUUCAUACAAAGAAAAGAAAUAGACUUGAACAUCAAAAGCUCAAUGCUCUAGUAUAUGUGAAGUAUAAUACGGCACUAAGAAAGAGAAGUAUUAGAAGGAGGUCAAAGAUUGAUCUAAUAUUGGUGAAUGAAAUUGAGUAAGAUGAUGAAUGGAUAGCUGAGGUUGAAGAACAAUUCUACCAACUGAUCUUACUUGGCUUAAUUCUCAAGAAUUAUAUGAUGUUGAUGUCAUCAGAAAUAUGCCCACUGAACCUUAUGAAACUGAUCUACAUACUCGAGUGCCUAUUUUUGUGGAGUCUAUUGGCGAUCCUAGGACUCAAGAGCGAGGGAAUAUUCAUGUUAGGACUCAAGAGCCUAUUGUCCAUUCUAGAACUCAAGAUCCUAUUAUUGAUGAUGAUCUUAUUCUUGACAAUGAUGUUCUUCUUUCCUCGUUAGCUUCAAAAAAGAAAAAAGAUGGUGAAACCUCAAGUAUGGAAAGUAAAUCAUGGAGUGAAAGUUACAAUUAGUGUUUAAUUCAUUACCACUAAAUUUUAUAAUUUUAAUUCAUUGUUCAUAUGUACAGGUAAGAGGAAAGUCAAAAGCAAGUCCAUAAGAGUGAUGCUUAUGGAUGAAGAUGAUGAGAUAGAUAAAGAUCCUUCAACAUUUGAUAGUGGGAAAAAUCCUUUUCAUAUUGAUACAGUUGAUCAAUAUGAUAGUGAUGCUAGUUUGAAUGAUAUUAGUGUUGAGGAGUAGGAUGAGUGAAUUAUGUUUUUGUUUUGAUGUUGAAUAAAUAUUUUAUGUUUUGGGAUUGAUUAUUAUGUUUUGAAUGACAAUUAGUACUUAUAUUUGAUUAUAUUUAAAAGAUUGUUAUGAUUGAAUAAGAAUUAGUUGUACAAUUUAAUCGUAUUGUAUUAUUCAUAAAUUUUUCUUAUUAAAAUAACUUAAUGUUCAAAAGGCUUACGCCUCAAGUAGCACUACUAAAAACGCCUCGCCUUUAAAAACAUUGAUAUUAUGUUCUUAGCAAUUGGUCGAGUAAUCAUGACCAACGACCUCAUAUGUAAUACGUUGAAUCACAUUUUAUAUCUGUAAGCUAGAAAACUUACUGUGAAUAUGAAACUAUAGCCUCGCUCAAGCAUUUCUUUGAGAAAGGGAGUUCUCCUUCACAUCAUGUUGAUAAAAUCUUGAGACAAUACAGUUUCUCAGCCUCAAAAUCGGCAGGAUCAUCUACUUCGAGCUUGUGGCAGUGAAGGUGAAGAAACUUACAAUGUUCGAAAGAAGUUUGAUCGACCGCCAAAAGAAGUUGAGAAAUCAAGCCUCAAAGUUGAAAGGUCCCAAUCGAGCACUCUUCUUUUUCUUUUUCUUUUUUGGUUUGUGUGAAAAUACUUGCCUUAUUAUGAUUCUUGAUUUCUUUUGUUUACUAACACAUAAUGAAUAAACAAUUCUGGGAGCUUUAGAACAUGAUAUAAAUGUUACAGGAAAGCUAAAGUGCAUGAAAUGCAUGAAAUAAAUGAAACACACGUCUUAACACUGUUGCGGAAAUUAUCAUUUCCUUGUUGUUUUGGAUUAAAAAACACUAUAUAUAUAAGCUUAAUGUGAUGUCACAUGUUGGGUGUGCAUGCAUUCUAAUUGGUUCUUCUUUCCCAGUCAUUGUCAAUGUGUUUGUCCUCAAUUGGCACGAAUCAACAUCAAUCGAUUUUUCUAAGAGCAACUUUAAGGGAGUGGGUAAAGGAGCAGCCACAUAAGCAUUUUCCUAUUCUCUCCGGACAGGCAAUGCUGCACCCCAGGUACAAUUUUGCCCAUUUAUUUGUGUGUACUUCCUUGAAAAUGCGCUUAUAUAUAUCACAAGUUUUUCAGCUCCAAAUCCUCAAACUCAAACCCAAUUGAAGAACAACUAUAACCAGCCAUGGAGUUUUUUAACCUCUCAUGCUCAUCUGAUCUUUUGAUACCUCUUGUGGCAGCUGCCUUUUCACUCUUUCUUUACUCUCUCUUAAUGAAAUCAAGAGGGGAAAGAAAAUCACCACCAAAAGCUGGGGGUGCGAGGCCUAUAAUCGGUCACCUCCACUUACUAGGAGGGUCAAAACCACCCCAUUUAGUUUUGGGUAAAAUGGCUGAGAGGUAUGGGCCAAUCUUCACCGUAAAUAUAGGAGUGCAUAAAGCUCUGAUUGUAAGCAGCUCAGAAAUAGCAAAAGAGUGUUUUACUACCAACGACAAAGUGUUUGCUAGUCGUCCGAAAUUCAUGGCGGCCGAAAUCAUGGCCUACAACUAUGCCUUCCUCCCCUUCAGCCCUUACAGCCACUACUCUCGCCAAGUUCGCAAGAUAGUUCUGCUUGAGGUUCUCUCCAACAGCCGCCUUGAGAUGCUCAAACACGUUCGAGAAUCCGAAGUCAAGGCGUCCAUGAAAGGAAUAUACGAGCGAUGCGUGACCAACGGGAAGAGCAGUACCGGUUCGAACAAGGCGUUGGUGGAGAUGAGGGAAUGGUUUUUGGACAUAAAUGAAAACAUUGUGUUUAGGAUGAUUGUAGGGAAACGAUUUGGGGAAGCUACAAGCUCAAAUUCCAAAGGCAGUAACUAUUAUUUAAAGAAGGAGACGUACAUGGAUUUUCUGAGAUUGUCUGGGACUUUUGUGCUGUCCGAUGCGAUUCCCUGGUUGAGGUGGUUGGACUUGGGUGGCCAUGAGAGGGCCAUGAAGAAGGUAGCCAAGGAGCUUGAUCUUGUGUUUAAUGGAUGGCUAGAAGAGCACAAGCAGAAGAGGAAGAUUUCAGGCCAAGUGAAGGGUGAUGAUGAUCAGCUUGAUUUCAUGGAUGUGAUGCUUUCCAUUCUUGAUGUUGAUGGUGCUAAUGAGAUUACUACAGAUUAUGAUGCUGAUACUGUCAACAAAGCAACUUCCAUGGUGUGCGCUUCUUUUCUUUUCUUUUCUUUUAUAAUAUUAAAAGAUAAUGUGACAGUGUUUCGUCUUUCAAUUUUUGCCCCACUAUGAACCUUUUCACUUGAUUAUAACAAAAAACGACAUAACUAACAUAUCAUUUGGUGAACAAAAAAUUAUGCAUGUUAUGCGUGUUGCAAUGUGUUCUUUUCUUGCAGGCUCUUAUAGUAGCCGGCGUAGAGGCGCCUGCGGUGCAGAUGACAUGGGCUCUGGCUUUACUUCUCAACAACCGCGAAGCUCUCAAGAAGGCUCAGGAAGAGCUAGACCAAAUCAUUGGUAAAGGCAGACAAGUGAAGGAAUCAGACAUCAAGAACUUGGUCUAUCUCCAAGCCAUUAUUAAAGAAUCAACGCGUUUAUACCCUGCUGGACCAUUAUCCCUGCCUCACGAGUCGACUGAAGAUUGCAUGGUCGGUGACUAUCAUGUCCCGGCAGGCACGCGCCUCUUUGUUAACCUUUCAAAGCUUCAUCGAGACCCGAGGGUUUGGUCCGAACCGAAUGAGUUUCGACCAGAGCGAUUUCUCACAACCCACAAGAGCUUUGACGUUAAGGGUCAUGAUUUCGAGUUAAUUCCAUUUGGAAGUGGUAGAAGAAUGUGUCCUGGAAUGUCACUUGCCCUUAAGGUUAUAGCAUUAACA
This 29707-nucleotide long non-coding RNA is filed under the name Prunus persica (peach). Lineage: Eukaryota; Viridiplantae; Streptophyta; Magnoliopsida; Rosales; Rosaceae. The record is from RNAcentral.